RNAcentral lists this ribosomal RNA (726 nucleotides) under uncultured fungus. Its description in RNAcentral is "SSU rRNA". It matches the Rfam family "Eukaryotic small subunit ribosomal RNA", at positions 330 to 1060 of the family's 1831-position model. The record is from RNAcentral. Lineage: Eukaryota; Fungi.
AGGAUAGAGGCCUACCAUGGUGGUAACGGGUAACGGGGUGUUAGGGCACGACACCGGAGAGGGAGCCUGAGAAACGGCUACCACAUCCAAGGAUGGCAGCAGGCGCGCAAAUUACCCAAUCCCGACACGGGGAGGUAGUGACAAUAAAUAACAAUACGGGGUUCUUUAGGAUCUCGUAAUUGGAAUGAGUACAAUUUAAAUCUCUUAACGAGGAACAAUUGGAGGGCAAGUCUGGUGCCAGCAGCCGCGGUAAUUCCAGCUCCAAUAGCGUAUAUUAAAGUUGUUGCAGUUAAAAAGCUCGUAGUUGAAUUUCGGGGUUAGUAGGUUGGUCAUGCCUCUGGUAUGUACUGGUCUCACUGAUUCCUCCUUCCUUAUGAACCGUAAUGCCAUUAAUUUGGUGUUGCGGGGAAUCUGGACUGUUACUUUGAAAAAAUUAGAGUGUUUAAAGCAAGCUAACGCUUGAAUACAUUAGCAUGGAAUAAUGAAAUAGGACGUUCGAUCUUAUUUUGUUGGUUUCUAGGAUUGACGUAAUGAUUAAUAGGGAUAGUUGGGGGCAUUAGUAUUCAAUUGUCAGAGGUGAAAUUCUUGGAUUUAUUGAAGACUAACUACUGCGAAAGCAUUUGCCAAGGAUGUUUUCAUUAAUCAAGAACGAAAGUUAGGGGAUCGAAGACGAUCAGAUACCGUCGUAGUCUUAACCAUAAGCUAUGCCGACUAGGGAUCGGAUGA